RNAcentral lists this ribosomal RNA (471 nucleotides) under uncultured bacterium. Its description in RNAcentral is "SSU rRNA". It matches the Rfam family "Bacterial small subunit ribosomal RNA", at positions 26 to 518 of the family's 1533-position model. The record is from RNAcentral.
AGGAUAAACGCUGGCGGCGUGCCUAACACAUGCAAGUCGAACGCGCUUUCGGGCUUCGGUGCGAGAGCGAGUGGCGGACGGGUGAGUAACACAUGGGUACCUACCUUGGAGUGAGGGAUACCGGCGAGAAAUCGCCGACAAUACCGCAUAGGCUUCUUCACAAGGGAAGCAAAGUGACGCGAGUCACGCUGUGAGAUGGGCCUGUGGCCGAUUAGCUAGUUGGGGGGGUAACGGCUUCCCAAGGCGACGAUCGGUAGCUGGUCUGAGAGGACGAUCAGCCACACUGGGAUUGAGAACGGCCCAGACUCCUACGGGGGGCAGCAGUGAGGAAUUUUCCGCAAUGGAGGCAACUCUGACGGAGCAACGCCGCGUGCAGGAGGAAGGUUUUCGGAUCGUAAACUGCUUUUCGUCGGGGACGAGCAAGGACGGUACCCGAGGAAGAAGCCCGGCUAACUACGCGCCAGCAGCCGC